This 253-nucleotide ribosomal RNA is filed under the name uncultured bacterium. RNAcentral's name for it is "partial 16S ribosomal RNA". It matches the Rfam family "Bacterial small subunit ribosomal RNA", at positions 524 to 776 of the family's 1533-position model. The record is from RNAcentral.
UACGGAGGGGGCUAGCGUUGUUCGGAAUUACUGGGCGUAAAGCGCACGUAGGCGGCUUUGUAAGUUAGAGGUGAAAGCCCGGGGCUCAACUCCGGAAUUGCCUUUAAGACUGCAUCGCUCGAAUUGUGGAGAGGUAAGUGGAAUUCCGAGUGUAGAGGUGAAAUUCGUAGAUAUUCGGAAGAACACCAGUGGCGAAGGCGGCGAUCUGGGUAGAUACUGACGCUGAGGUGCGAAAGCGUGGGGAGCAAACAGG